CCUGCAAAGCGAUGAGAUGGUAGUGAGCACCGUUUCGGUCCCUUUCCACCAACUGUCUAUUGUGACACUAUGGAGCUAACUAGCAGAGCUGCUGAAAUCACAGGCUUCCAUCCGCAGUUUUGGCAGGAGGGUCCUACUUCCUUAAACCUUGUUUUUAAAUGUCAUAAGCCUUCCCUCAAGUCCCUCUCAGGAGAAAGCAAAGAAUGAGGUAGAAGAGAAAUGGGGAAAAUAUGCAUCUUCCUCUCUUUGGGGACUUGAUGCUGGAAGAAACAAAGAUCAAAGAGUGGCGCACAGACGGC
Long non-coding RNA from Myotis brandtii (Brandt's bat), 299 nucleotides. RefSeq lists it as uncharacterized. The transcript has 3 exons. NCBI's taxonomy places the organism in Eukaryota, Metazoa, Chordata, Mammalia, Chiroptera, Vespertilionidae. The record is from RefSeq and is a predicted model, not a curated record.